GACGAACGCUGGCGGCGUGCUUAACACAUGCAAGUCGAGCGGAAAGGCUCCUUCGGGGGUACUCGAGCGGCGAACGGGUGAGUAACACGUGAGUAAUCUGCCCUUGGCUUUGGGAUAAGCCCCGGAAACGGGGUCUAAUACCGGAUACGACGCACUCUCGCAUGGGAUGUGUGUGGAAAGUUUUUUCGGCCAGGGAUGUGCUCGCGGCCUAUCAGCUUGUUGGUGGGUAAUGGCCUACCAAGGCUUCGACGGGUAGCCGGCCUGAGAGGGUGACCGGCCACACUGGGACUGAGACACGGCCCAGACUCCUACGGGAGGCAGCAGUGGGGAAUAUUGGACAAUGGGCGGAAGCCUGAUCCAGCAACGCCGCGUGAGGGAUGACGG
RNAcentral lists this ribosomal RNA (384 nucleotides) under uncultured bacterium. Its description in RNAcentral is "bacterial SSU rRNA". It matches the Rfam family "Bacterial small subunit ribosomal RNA", at positions 28 to 414 of the family's 1533-position model. The record is from RNAcentral.